This 291-nucleotide ribosomal RNA is filed under the name uncultured bacterium. RNAcentral describes it as "partial 16S ribosomal RNA". It matches the Rfam family "Bacterial small subunit ribosomal RNA", at positions 28 to 317 of the family's 1533-position model. The record is from RNAcentral.
GAUGAACGCUAGCGGCAGGCCUAAUACAUGCAAGCCGAACGGUAAUUCUGAUAGCAAUAUUGGAACUAGAGUGGCGUAAGGGUGCGUAACACGUAUGCAAUCUACCCGCAACAGGAGGAUAGCUCCCCGAAAGGGGAAUUAACCCUCCAUGAGAUCACACGAGGGCAUCCGAGAGUGAUUAAAUUUGAGGAGGUUGUGGAUGAGCAUGCGACUGAUAGCUAGUUGGCAGUGUAACGGACUACCAAGGCGAUGAUCAGUAGGGGAACUGAGAGGUUGAUCCCCCACACUGGC